AUUGAACGCUGGCGGCAGGCCUAACACAUGCAAGUCGAGCGAGCGGCGGACGGGUGCGUAAUGUCUGGGCAACUGCCUGAUGGAGGGGGAUAACUACUGGAAACGGUAGCUAAUCCCGCCUACCAUCAGACGUGCCCAGAUGGGAUUAGCUAGUAGGUGGGGUAACGGCUCACCUAGGCGACGAUCCCUAGCUGGUCUGAGAGGAUAACCAGCCAAACUGGAACUGGGACACGUGCCGGACUCCUACGAGAGGCAGCAGUGGGAAAUAUUGCACAAGGGGCGCAAGCCUGAUGCAGCCAUGCCGCGUGUGUGAAGAAGGCCUUCGGGUUGUAAAGCACUUUCAGCGGGGAGGCGUUACCCGCAGAAGAAGCACCGGCUAACUCCGUGCCAGCAGCCGCGGUAAUUC
This 406-nucleotide ribosomal RNA is filed under the name uncultured bacterium. RNAcentral describes it as "partial 16S ribosomal RNA". It matches the Rfam family "Bacterial small subunit ribosomal RNA", at positions 30 to 526 of the family's 1533-position model. The record is from RNAcentral.